RNAcentral lists this ribosomal RNA (253 nucleotides) under uncultured bacterium. RNAcentral's name for it is "partial 16S ribosomal RNA". It matches the Rfam family "Bacterial small subunit ribosomal RNA", at positions 524 to 776 of the family's 1533-position model. The record is from RNAcentral.
UACGUAGGUGGCAAGCGUUGUCCGGAUUUAUUGGGUUUAAAGGGUGCGUAGGCUGUCCCUUAAGUCAGUGGUGAAAUACAGCCGCUUAACGGUUGAGGUGCCAUUGAUACUGGGGGACUUGAGUACAGACGAGGUAGGCGGAAUUGACGGUGUAGCGGUGAAAUGCAUAGAUAUCGUCAAGAACACCGAUAGCGAAGGCAGCUUACUAGACUGUAACUGACGCUGAUGCACGAAAGUGUGGGGAUCAAACAGG